UACGUAGGGUGCAAGCGUUAAUCGGAAUUACUGGGCGUAAAGCGUGCGCAGGCGGUUAUGUAAGACAGAUGUGAAAUGCCCGGGCUUAACCUGGGAACUGCAUUUGUGACUGCAUGGCUAGAAUCUGGCAGAGGGGGGUAGAAUUCCACGUGUAGCAGUGAAAUGCGUAGAUAUGUGGAGGAACACCCGAUGGCGAAGGGCAGCCCCCUGGGUCAAGAUUGACGCUCAUGCACGAAAGCGUGGGGAGCAAACAGG
Molecule: ribosomal RNA, 255 nt
Filed under: uncultured bacterium
Lineage: Bacteria
Description: partial 16S ribosomal RNA
Rfam family: Bacterial small subunit ribosomal RNA
Source: RNAcentral